GACGUAGGGUCCAAGCGUUGUCCGGAUUUACUGGGCGUAAAGAGCGUGUAGGCGGUCAGGUAGGUCCGUUGUGAAAACUCGAGGCUCAACCUCGAGACGCCGAUGGAAACCAUCUGACUAGAGUCCGGAAGAGGAGAGUGGAAUUCCUGGUGUAGCGGUGAAAUGCGCAGAUAUCAGGAAGAACACCCGUGGCUAAGGCGGCUCUCUAGUACGGUACUGACGCUGAGACGCGAAAGCGUGGGGAGCGAACAGG
This 253-nucleotide ribosomal RNA is filed under the name uncultured bacterium. RNAcentral's name for it is "partial 16S ribosomal RNA". It matches the Rfam family "Bacterial small subunit ribosomal RNA", at positions 524 to 776 of the family's 1533-position model. The record is from RNAcentral.